AGGAUAUGGUGGGCAUCUUCAACACCCACUAUUCUCCUGAGGAGGUCAUCUUGAGUGUCCAAGGUCAGAUCACUGAAACCCCACCUGAUGUGGUGGAAGUUGUCGAAACCAGAUCAGGACGCCUUCGAGAAUUACCUUCAGCCACGGACUGAGAAGGAUGUGGAGGUGAGACUGAACAUGGACAAGGCGCAGGAGAAACAGAAGGAGAGCUACCGGAGCAGAGUCAAGAAGGGGACCAAGUGCUACGACAUCCGGGCAAAUGACUUGGUUUGGAAGAAGAACGAAAGGAAGGCAGAGACCUUGAAAACCUCGCUGCUCCUAGCUGUGGUCACGAUCUGUUAAAGGUUACCUAGGGUUACCUAAGGUUACCUAGGAAGCUAACCAUCUUCUGCAGUUGGACGGUCUACCACUGGAAGCAUUGACGCCCUACACUUCAGUGAAGCCCAAUUUACAAAGGAGGUUAAGCUUUGGUUGACAUUUGAGAAAGCAAGAAAUGGUUGUUAUACUAAGCUUACAAAAAUGUACCUCUUCAAUUUACCUCUCCAAAUGACUUUAGGACCAUCGACUGUCCGAGCCCCCCAGGAGGUAUCCCAUCUACCAGAACCAGUGAGUUCGGAUCAGUCUGAUUCUCUGUGCUCUGAGUCGGAGGGGGACUAGCUUGAGAGCUAGGGGUUUUGGCCAACACCCAGAUCCACCUGAUGUCCUCCAUUACCAACCAUUGUUUUCAUUACCUCAUCUACAGCUACUGUUGUCAUUACGUCAUCUACAGCUACGGUUAUCAUUAUCUGCUAAGAAAGCUGUCUUGCGCUAUCAUACUGGGCACAUAAUAUGUGAGAGACACAGAUUAACUAAAAACAUUAGCACUGAAAAUCCUCUGAACAAAGCGAACAGCAGUGCCUGGACUUCGCAGUCUCCUUCUUCAAGUCCCCCCUUCUGAGACUGGGUGCCUGUUGAGAACAAGUGACAGGCAGAAUCUCCCACCCACACAGCAACCACCUCCUAUAUUCCACACACCAGAAUUAUGUAUUUAGUCUAUGAUUGCCAUGUGAAAAUAAAUUAAUGACACAACUGUACCAAAAAAUAUCAACGUUUCUGUGUUACAAUCUUAAAUAUUGACGGGUUGGUUUUCACAACAUGUUCAUUGCUGUAAGGUAUCCUUUGAUGGUAUUUAUUUGUUCCUCAUUAUUCAUUGAAUGUAGUAAAUUCUGCCGUAGGGAAAGCGUGCAUCUCACAGGUGAGGGCAACGACCUCUUCCUUGAGUUUGAGAGCUGAUCCCUCUUUUGUUCUAGCAAGAGCUGUGCUCUUGGGGUAAUUCUCAAAAUGCAUUUAUUUUUAAUUUUUAAAAGGAAGUGUCAGGGAACAUUGUUUUUUACAUGUAUCUAACCUUUGU
Long non-coding RNA from Oncorhynchus tshawytscha (Chinook salmon), 1390 nucleotides. The record is from Ensembl. NCBI's taxonomy places the organism in Eukaryota, Metazoa, Chordata, Actinopteri, Salmoniformes, Salmonidae.